AGUCCAUUAAGCCUAGUUGCUUAGCGUUGGGAGUAUUACCGUACGGUAACUCCUCAAAGUCAGUGGCAGGGUUACGGUACACUCUAAGCGUAGUAGAUUUCUUUCUCGCUUUUGCUGUGGCCGCGGCCGUUGCCAUAAACCUAUACUUUCUUAGUUGG
This 158-nucleotide unclassified non-coding RNA is filed under the name uncultured Virgaria. Its description in RNAcentral is "sequence contains ITS2". The record is from RNAcentral. Lineage: Eukaryota; Fungi; Ascomycota.